RNAcentral lists this non-coding RNA (25 nucleotides) under Cricetulus griseus (Chinese hamster). The record is from RNAcentral. Lineage: Eukaryota; Metazoa; Chordata; Mammalia; Rodentia; Cricetidae.
AAGGCAAAAACCAUCUCCAUUGUAG